This 32746-nucleotide long non-coding RNA is filed under the name Populus tremula. RNAcentral describes it as "long non-coding RNA (PTRE_LNC000377)". The stretch from base 8012 to 8101 matches the Rfam family "MIR478 microRNA precursor family". The record is from RNAcentral. Lineage: Eukaryota; Viridiplantae; Streptophyta; Magnoliopsida; Malpighiales; Salicaceae.
GUCAGUAAUUUUAUCAGCUUGACUACGAUUCCUGACAAGUCCACCAUUCAUUUUGUUGACUCCAGAACCAAUGUUCUCUUCUUCAAAAGCUUUCCCCUUUAUUCCAAACAUAUCCAGGGAAUCUUUAGCAUGAGCAAGAUUUCUUUUAAGCCAAUAGUUCUAUCAAUGCUUUCAAUAUAUUCUAAUACAUAGGACUUCGUUGAGCAAUUCGAGUCUUCUACUCUUGGUUUCAUUGAAAUCCUCUGAGUCUGAAUUCAUGCUGCUAGUAUGAUCCCUCAACCAUCGUCCAUCACUCGUUGCCCUCCCAUUUUCCUUCUAAAUCAGCAUGCAGACACUUACUUUUCCACCCACCUUAUGAUUGAACUCUCUAAUUCUCCUCCUCUGUAAUCAAGCUCAACAUUAACUACAUCUUCUUGACCAGAGCAUCCAUCACUAUUUCACCAAACUCAUCACUUUCCAUGACUCCAGACACCUUUUCUCGUUGUUAAACCUCUCAAAUCCACAUUGCUUUCAUGUCUUACUGAUGAAGGGGCAUCACUCUCCUCUAAAUCACCCUUCAAAUUAUAGCAUGCGCAUGACUUUCUUUGCCAUCCACAUUAUGACUGAACUCUCUAAUUCUUCCCCCUCUGUAAUCAAGCUCUGCGUUAACUACAUCUUCCUCACCACUGGGUCCAUUAGCAUUCUCGCCAAACUCAUCACUUUCCAUGAUUUUGGACACCUUCACUCGAUCCUUAAACCCCCUCAAUUUUACACUCCUUUCAUCUCUUUCCAACAAUGGCGCAUCUUCCCUCUAAAUCAUCCUUCAACUUAUAACUAUUUGACUUAUGUACUUGAUUCUUUUCUUCCAGUCUUAACAGACUCCAUAGCCUUCAAAUACUCACCAAAGAUGGUUUAAAUUCUAACUCUUUCUCAAUAACCCCACCACCACCAACCAACCGAUUAUCAGACUCGUCUUUUUGCAAUGCCUUAACUCUUAAACCAACAACUCUCAUUGCUUUUCCCACGCUUGCUCUUCAAUGGAAACCAGAAAUUGGAGGUCUCCAAGAAUUCAAAGGCCCACAUGAAGAAUAUGGUUUCCAGCUACAAUUACAGGUUAAGUUCCCAUUUCUUUCAAAACCAGAUAAACCGUUUUGCCCAUUUGUCAUAAUUAUCACCUCCAUAUUAUCAAUUCACACGACACAGUCUCACAAGCCAAGUAAACCUCUAUCUUGGAGUCACUAAAAAAGAUUCCCUAGCUUUGCCUAUGAUUGAAAAAUUACAUUAUCAUAAUAAAAAGUUGAUCUUUUUCGAUAACAUACUGAAAAUUGACCUUCAAUAAUCUGAAUUUGUGAAUAAAAACAAAAUAUAACCAAGAGAAUUACAAAAGAAACCAAUGUUACUUACAAAGCUCCCAGGAAGAAAAGAAGCAUGAGAAGAUGCUAAAAUACUAUAAAGUCGAGUUCUUUUUAAGGUUUUGUUUCACUCACUGUUUUCAGUGCUUGUGGUCGAGACAUACAUGAUGACAACCUUUUACAAGGAACUUAUCGUGGCACAAUCCAAACUAGCAGUUCUGCCUGUUUGCCCAAUAGAAGCCGAUGUCUGUCAUUUGGCCUCUGGAUUAUAUAGGUGUUUAUCUAAGGGCUACUCAUUUAUUGGGCCCAAAGAGUACCUUUCAGAUUCUCCUACUUCCACUUGUGAAACCCAAACAAAAAAUCAACACAAGACCCAGAUUUUAAAUUAGAAAAAUCAACCCAAUUGAUCUUAUUUUUUUAGCCAAAAGAAUCAAAAACAACGUUUAACUGAUUGAAAAUUGGAGUUUUGAUUAGGUCAAAAUCUAGGAUUAUUAAGUUUUUUUUUAUUUGAUGGUAAAAGUAUUCUCAAACUAGAUUGUACAUCAACAGAAACUAUAAGUAUUCUCAAAUGAUGUUAAUGUCUUGUUUGUUUUUAGAAAUUUAUUUUCCUGAAAACUAUUUUUCACACUUUUUCAUGUUUUAUAAACAUAAAUAAAGUUGGUCAAGGAAACUGAAUUACAAUCAAAGAAAAAAAGAAUGAUUUAUGGCAGGAAAGUGUUUUCCUUUCCUUAUUCUAAGGAAAACACUUUUCUUUUCUUUGUUGACAAAACGUGUACUGUCCAAAAUACAAAUUUCUAACUCUCUUUCUCUCUCAAAUCUCUUACAGAACAAUUAAAGCAUCUCUCAGCUCUUCUUUCAGGUAAUUUUUUUUCCUCAAAUGUCUUUAUUUAUCUUAUGUUUUCAUCCUUUUUAUUUUUAAUCUGUAGUUAUAAUAAUGGCAUAAAUGUUUGUGAUAUAUUUGCUGCAUUUUUUUCAUGAUUUAUCUUGUUAAUUUACUGCAGCCAAUGCUCCGUAUUUUUUUCCAGAAACCAAACAAAACAACACACCCAUUCAACCAUAACAAACCCAAUUUUUUUCCUAGAAACCAAACACAGCAAACCCAUACACAAACACAGCAAACUCAGAGAAUCACCAUUCCUUCGUUUCGCCACUUAAAGAAUCACAGCAAACUCAAAGAAUCACCAUUCCUUCGUUAAGUUGAAGGCGUCUUUCGUUUCGCCAUUCCUUCCAUGUUGAGCCACCACUCUUCGUCAAGCAACCCAUACAUAGCAAACACAAACCCCUACAUUUUUCCUAGAAACCAAACACAGCAACCUAUACACAGCAAACCCAAACCCAUUUUUCUCUUGCUGUGAUUUUUUCAUAGAAACCUGGUUUGCUGUGUUUUUUUUCACAGAAACCAAACAAAACAUUUUGUUUGGUUUCUGUGAAAAAAACACAGCAAACCCAUGCUCUAUUUCUUCUUUUGUUUAAUCGAAAAGAUAUGCUUUCAAUUCCCCUCCAUCUCUUCAUCUUCCUCUCCUUUUCUUCAAUUGCUUCUCUUCUAGAAGAACCCGACCCACCCAAUGUCCCCUUCCCAAAUCUGCUACCUUUGGCUCUCCUUCUCCUUCUCUUAUGCUUUCCUGUAAAUGCUUUCCUUCUCUGUUGAUGAUAUGUGUUUCAUGUGUUUUCUAGGCGUGAUGUGCGUGCAUUGAUGAUGAUGCACAGUGAUGUUGUGUGCGUUAAUGAUGAUGAUGAUGCACAGUAAUGAAAGGGGAAUUGGUUUGGGUAGAAAUCUUAGACCGUGAAAUAUUAUGUGCAUUGAUGAUGAUGAUUAUACACAGUAAUGAAAAACUGAAAUGGUUUGGGUAGAAAACUUGAGACCAUUAAAUAUUUAUAUACAUAAUUCAUUAAUAAAUUAUUGUAUUGUUUGUUUUGGGAUACAGAAUUCAUCAUAUAAUUAUUUUCUUUUAAGGCAUUGUUUGUUUUGGGAAUCAGCUUCUUUGAGCAUAAUUUAUUGUAUUGAUUAUGUAAGUAUUUUAUAUACUUUUGUAAUGUUUAUUUCCCUAAAUUUUUAGGUUUUGUUAGCAGAAAACUUUACUUUUUUGUUAUGGAUAGUAAGAUUAUUCAUACAGCAUGUAUGGGAGCAGCUGUAAUUGUGAUAGUUAUAGGAGUAGCUAUUAUUGAACAAGAAAGAAAUAAAAUUAUAUACAAAGAGAACCACGUAUAGAUGAAAUUGCUCAAUGAGAAUUCUAUAUGGAUAGCAUUUUGAAUCGAGGUGAUAGACAUUGCAUUGAACAAAUUUGUAUGAAACCAGUUGUCUUAUAUAAUUUGUGUGAUGUUCUCACAAGUCAUGACCUAUUACGAUCAACUCAAAAUAUGUCUAUUAGGGAGCAAGUAAUUGUGUUCUUACAAAUUGUAGACCAAAACCAAAGAUUUCAUUUUAUUAGUGGUAUAUAUUAUAGGUCUGUUGAAAUUAUCUAUCGUUACUUUAGAAUUGUUUUAAAAGCAGUUCAUAAGUUAUACAAACACCUAAUUAAAGACCCAGGGGAUAUAGUUCCCGUAGAGAUAAUGAAUAAUCGAAGAUUCUAUCCUUAUUUUAAGGUAUGAGAACAAUACCAAUAUUUUUAUACAGUAAUUAAUUACAUCUAAAAGAAAAGGUUGUAAAUUAUUUUUUCAUGUUUAUACAGGAUUGUGUGGGAGCAAUUGAUGGUACCCAUGUUCCUGCAAAUGUUCCUGUUGAGAUUCAAGGGAAGUUUCGAAGUUGAAAAGAAGGAACAACACAAAAUGUUUUAGCAGUUAUAACUUUUGAUUUGAAGUUUAUAUAUGUUUUAGCUGGCUGGGAAGGAAGUGUACAUGAUUCACAGGUUUUUGAUGAUGCAUUAUCAAGACCUAAUGGUCUAAAAAUUCCAGAAGGUAUAUAAUAAAGUAUUUAUUAUAUGCAAUAAACAUAUAAAAUGUUUAAUUAGCUAAAGAUAGUAAUAAGUUUUUUUUUUCUAAUUUGUAAGGAAAUAUUAUCUGGGUGAUGCUGGUUACGAUAUUCGAAAAGGAAUCAUUUAUCUUUUUCGUGGAGUUCGAUAUCACUUGAAUGAGUUUACAGAACAUUCACCAGAAAAUGAAAAUGAGCUAUUUAAUCUUCGACACUCUUUGUUGAGAACUGCUAUUGAGCGAGGGUUUGGUAUUUUGAAGAGUCGUUUAGAUCAAUUGAUGGAAAAUCUUUUUGGUCUUAUGAAACAAAGGUAAAUGUUGUGCUUGCAUGUUGUAUUAUUCAUAAUCACAUUAUGGGAGUUGAUCCUUAUGACUUUUUUAUGGAAGAAAUAUAUUCAGAAAGUGAACCAAAUAGACGAACAAUCAACUUAAGUCAACGGAAGGAGAGGGAAGAUAAUAGGGAGUGGAUAACAAAAAGAGAAAUGAUUGCAUCAACCAUGUGGAAUGAUUAUAACACUCAAAGAAACUAGUAAUUAAGUGUUAAUUAUAUAUGUUUGUUUUUAUUAUGUCUUGCUUGAGUUUGUAUUAUCUUUGUUAUGUAUUUGGAUUAUUUGUUGACUUUAUUAUAAUUUCUUAUGUAUUUUAUGUAUUCUUUUUUAAAUAUUAAUUGUAGUUUUUAUAUUUAAUUUAUUAAAUCUAAAUAUUGUAUGAUUAUAUUUUGUAUAAAUUUGUAACUUUUUUUUUGUAGAAAUAAGUACCACACAAAAUGAAACAUGCAAGGACAAACACUUUACAUGGUCUAAGCCUAUGUCUCACAUGCUACUUGAGAUAUUAGCUGAGGAGGCACUUAAAGAAAAUAAACCUUCCUCCACCUUUAAAGUAGAAUCUUUUGUUAAGGUGACUACAUAAAUUAGUCAAAAUUUCAACAUGCAAUGCGAGUCUAAGCAUGUUGACAAUCAUCUCAAAACUGUGAAAAAAGAAUGGGGAAUAAUAACCAAACUUAAAAAUAAAAGUGGCUUUGGUUGGGAUAAUUGUUUGAAGAUGAUUAUAGUUUCAAAAGAUGUAUAUGAUGAAGAAGUGAAGGUAUGUUAAAUAUUAUACUUUUCAUAAUUUUUAUAUCUACUUUUGUUUCCAAAAUGUUAUAUAAGGAACUAAAAAACCUUUUCUUUUCAUUUUUCUUUUUAACCAAAUUCCAAUAUCAUAUGUUUAAUUUUGAUAUUUAUUUUAUGAUUUUGAAACCUAUUAGGGCCCAAUUUUUUACUGUUAUCAUAUCGAACAAAAUCUAACUUAUAUCAUUAACAAUUAACUAGAAAGCUAAAAACAAGGGUGAGAAAAAAAAACUAAAAAAAACCGAUUAAAAUUUAAAAAAAAUUGACCAUUCGGUUCGGUUAUAUGAGCUUGAAACCGAAAAAACAGAAUCCAAACAAAAAAAUCUGGAAAAAAACCGAUCCAAACUAGUUUAAACUGGUUUUGGUCCUAAAAAACCAAACCAAACCAAACCGAAACAGUUGGUUUGAACCGUAUUUGUUUCUUUCUUCUUCUUCUUCUUUUUAAUUUCAUUUCUAGUAUUUUUUUUAUUUACUUUUUAUGAGGUUAUUCUAAACUUAUACCUUAGUUGACAUUAGUUUUUUUUUUCCUCAAUUGACUUUUUUUUUUCAAUUUCACCCUUUAACGUUGAAUUUAUGAAAAAUUAUACUUCAUGAUUUAUAUCUGUUUAUUUUGUAUAAGACUAUCUCAAUAUCAUGACUCAAGUCACAUGUUUGAUAUUUUAAUUUGUGUUGACUCGAUUAAUUUUUUUAAUCAAUUUUUUAAUUUUAAUUCUAUCCUUCAAUAUUAGAUUUAGUUGUUUGUUUUGUUCACCAACCACAUUGUUGUAACCCAAUUUUGGAUUCACCAAGAUUUUCUUGAAUAUUAUUUUAUUUCUAUUAUUAUUCAUAAAAAUCCAAAAAAAAAUAAAAAAAGUUUAAAAUUCAAAAAUAUAUUUUUCUCGAGUCAACCGCAUCUUUCCGGGUCAAACCAUGUCGACCAGGGUAAAAAAUGAGUUUCGGGCUGUUUCGGAUCAAAACCGUCAUUUUCAACCAAAACCGAGUUCACCGGGUCAAACCAUGUCAACCAGGAUAAAAAAUGAGUUUCGGGCUGUUUCGGGUCCAAAACCAUCAUUUUCGACCAAAAACCGAGUUCACCGGGUCAAACCAUGUUGACCAGGUUUAAAAAUGAGUUCCGAGCUAUUUCGGGUCAAAAACAUCAUUUUCGAUCAAAACCGAGUUCACCGGGUCAAUACGGGUCAAACCAUGUCGACCGGGAUGAAAAAUGAGUUUCGGGCUAUUUUUGGGUCAAAACCAUCAUUUUUCGGUUAAAACCCGGUUUACCGGGUUGAUACCCAUCAAAUGUUUUUUUGUAUUAGCGGUUGCAACGAGGUUUUUUGUUUAAUACUGAUUUUAAUUUUUAAUUUUAUCUAUAUAAAUAUUUAUUAUUAUAUAUAAUAAUACAAAAUUAAAAUUUUCAACGGAUUAGUUGUAUUAUUGAAUUAGUAGUUGUGUUAAUAUUAUUUUUUUAUUUAAGGUAGAUGAAAGAGCAGUUGUGUUGUACCCUGCUCAGUGGAUAUAAAUAGCCACGUGAGCAGGGAAGAAGGAGGGAGAAAAACAGAAAAGAAGAGAAAGAAUUCAUACACUGUGCAUGUUUUUUUUAGUUUUUCUUCGUGAGAGUAGGAUAUUAUUUAAAAAAAAAACAAUUUGAAAAUACCAAAUAUAUCCUGACCCAUCUCAGCCAUUGAAAUAAUCCAUGAUGUAAUCUCGUUGCGCCACAUCAUCCGGUGCACCGAGAUUUCGGUGUACUGCGUCACACUGGAUAAACACCCACACAAUCCGGGCCGUCCGAUCAACCUGCAGAUCUAACCAAUCACAGCCAUUCGAUCGUUUCAUCCAAGAUCCAACGGUUAAAAGCCUCCCGCUGCACUAGAGUACCAUGGACACGUUCACACCGUAGCCAAUCUCAGAGCCUCUCUCUCCUCUCACCGGCGACUCUCUCUCUCUCCUCUCACCGGCGACUCUCUCUCUCUCUCCUCCGAUCUCCAUUUUCCGGCCGUAUCAAGCCUCCGCACCACCACAGAAAGGUAUCUACCAUGGUUUAAAGCAAAACCCCGGUGGUUUUCAUAGUUUUCGCCGCCUCAUAUGGCCGAAAAAAGGCCACGAUCUUCGUCGGCCACCGAAGCUUCAAGUCGUCGAUUCUCCCUCGUCAGCCAUCAACGGACGUCUAGACCACCACCAACACAAUCCUCGACCUCAGAUCUACCAGAAUCGACCAUCGGUUUUCCAGAAAGCUCGCCUGAAAAUCUAGCCGCCACCAACAGUAGCCGCGCGUGAGCCACACGCGCCGCCAGGGCAUUUUCGUAAAUAUCUGAUAAAUCCGAGGGUAUUUUAGUCUUUUACCUAUACUGUGUCACUUAGGUAAUUUUUUUUAGAUUUCUAACAUUUUUUUUUUAUUUUGUAUAUAAAUUUUCUUGCAUGUUGUAAAAAAAAAAACAAGGAAUAGCAACGCGGGUCCAACACCCAUCCUAUUAUGUUAUCAUUCGUGGGUCCAAAGCCCAAUUUUCAAAUAUAGUUAUACCCAUAUCUCAACGAUAUCAAAAUAUUUAUUUUUAUAAACAAAUAUUGUUUGUCGACACGUCUCUUUUUAUAGAAAAAGACCGAUGUAAAAAAAAAAAAAGUUUAAAAACCAAACAAAUAUGGAUUAUGUCCAUACUUUUGUUUUUUGGUAACUUAGAUGUAAAUCUCCUUUUUAGGGUUAAACGUCAAUAUUUUAGACAAGUGUCCUAUUUUUAGGGACUGAUGUCAUUUUUAACGUGUCUCCUAUUUUUAGGGACCGACGUUAACUAUUUUAUAAAAAUAAAAAACAAAAUUGCAAAUAAGCUCAAAAUAUAAUAGCAUUUAAAUCAAAUAAAAAACAUACAAGUAAAGGUAACCUUUCUCUUGAAAGGAUGUUUUAAGGGUAGUGUCUACCUUCCCUUAAUCAUAACUAACCCAGUACCCGAAUCUCUGGAACCAGUGUCUAAUUUGGAAUUUCUAGUUCCCUCAAAUUACUAGAUGGCGACUCCAAUAAAAUUUUCAUUUUCCCAAUAAAAAAAAAUCUUUUUGUUAAAUGAACAAAAAAAAGAGGAGUCGUCACCCGACGUCGUGUAUCGACACACAUGUUACCUUGAACUUGAUUGAUUGUCAAGUGCAUGUUUUUUAAAUUUGACAUAUUCACCAAACCUAUUUUAUUUAGGUUUAAAACAGUCUAAAACACUCCUCGUAUUACUAUAAAACAGUCUAAAACACCUAGACAACUAAUCAUCCAAAAUCAAGAGCUCACCAUUACCUAGGGUUCUAGUUUUGAACAACUUUUGAACUUAGUGGAAUGUCUAUAAUCUUAUUUAUCGAAAUGUUAUUAUAACAAUCUUGUAACAUCUUUAGGUUAAAUUUAUUUCCACACUUUGAAUCUUAAAUUGCUGCUAGACAACCUUAGAUUUGUACUGGAUCACUAAACAAGGAUAAGCCAUUGUCUGGGACAACAACUUGUUGAAACUUCUCGCCAUGAACGUCAAGUGAAUGUACAAUGAUUCCGCCAUAGAUUUUACCAUCCAAUAUAUAACUCCAUUAGCACAUAUGGCUUCCUUAAAAUCAUACCACUUCGUGUACCCAUAAAAAAAUAUAAUGCUUUUUAUUUAUUCUUAACUAUUUUUUUGUCCCCAGCGUGAAGAUUUCAAAUUGCUCUUUGUCAUGAACACAAACUUUCAUUUUAUACCCAUUAGCCAAAGAUCAAACCCGAAGGAAAGAUGGUCUUGUAUACUAAAUUGAGAUACGGUGUCCAUCAUCAACUAUGCAUAACUUUAUGAAUAUGCACAUCCCAAUCAUGACAAGUAUCUCAAUAAAAUACUUGAUAUGUACGAGGCAAUAACAAUUGUUGUUGGAAAAGAUAUGGUAACCGAAAAUUAUGUCAAAUCAUAUGAUGAUGUCAACUUGGAAGAGAACACUGAAGAAUAAUCAAUUUCAAUUGAAAAUGAAGGGGAAUAUGAAGAAACUUUAAAAGAAAAAGAGACAUCUUCCUCUAGUGCACGAAAGAGGCAACAUAGAAAGAAAAAUAACAUGUAUGAAGAUGAUAGUGUUUAAAAGUUGUCUAAAAAGAUUGGAGAUGUAGCAUUUGCAAUCCAAAACCUCAGCAAAAAUCAACUAGAUGUUAAUGAACUAUAUACAAAAGUGAUGAAAAUUGAAGGCUUUGAUAAGAUCACUCUUGGGGAUGCAUUUAAUCACUUGGUCUAACAUGAAAUGUUGGCAAAAACAUUUAUGGCAAAAAAUACUAAUUUGAGGAAAAUUUGGGUUCAGAAUUUUGUGAACCAACACUACUACAUGCUUGAUUGCUAAGAUGAUUUUACUAUGAUAAGAAAGUUUAUGUUUGUUAUUUGACAAGUAUGUUUACUUGUUUAAUUCGGUCUAGCAUGUUUAUGUUUGUUAAUUUGAACUAAUAUGUAUGAAUAUUACAUCAAAACUUAAUAUUUAUGCAUGACUAUGUUUGAUGUAAGAUAUUUAUAUUUAUUUCUUAAUGCUUAUUUAAUAUAUAUUAAAAGGAUAUUUCAAGGAUAAUUGCCUAUAUCCGUAAAAAAAAAAAAUCUUUAUCUAAAAAACCCAUCAAAAUAUUUUUGUAUUUAUUUAUCUUUUAAAAAAAUCUUCAUACCAAAAAACCCAAAUAUCUAACUCUUACUUAAUACCAUAAACUAAUUUGGCUCUUUUCAUAUGAAAAAAAACAUAUUUUAAGCUUUUAAAAUUGAAAAAAAAUAUUAAUAGAUUUUAUUUAUGAAAAAUUUCACAAGGUUAUAUCUCUAUAAUAUUUAAUAUUAUAUGACAUAUAUAGUUAUAUUUUAUAAAAUAAACUAUAAAUGAAUAUAGGAUAUAAUAAAAAAAUUCAUCAUUACACUUUUUAGAUUUUUUUUUAUUGUAAAUGAUUAAAUAUUUUUCAUAUAUUAGAUAAAUUUAAAAAAAAAAAAACUUAAUUCAUUAAUAAAUUAUUUUUCAGUUUAUUUUUUAUAACAUAACCAAAUACUAAAAAAUAUUUUCCAGUUUAUAAAAAUCACUUAAAAAAAAAAAACUUUCCUACAAAUAAAUAUAACCUAAAAAUAUAUUAGUCGCAUUAGUCGCAUGGACUUAGAGGAGUUUAAUUGGAGUGUUUGAGGACAGAGUGCUACAUGUGUGCCCCAAUUUAUCCCAAGGAAAUCACUGGAAAUCACUGGUUUUUAACUUGGGCGAAUGCACAGAGAAGUUUUACAAAUGAGCAACAACAAUUUACAAUAAUUCAUAAACACAGACAACAAGACCAUCCAUGUGGCCUUCCCUUUACAUCUUUACGUCUUCCCUUUCCUGUCAAAAGUUCAUCCUCCCAAGGAAACAAAAAAGGCAUGGCUCAAGUUCAUGAGCCAUCCGCGUGGUCGUUAUCAUUGUCGCCUUCAUAAUAUUCAUCGUCGCGUUGGAUUUGCUUGUCCUGGGUAUGCUCUGAAAUGAGAAUUCAUUAUAAAUUAGUAACAGGGAAAAACAUCUAGAUGAGAAAACAAAAAACUCAAAGGAGCAAAAAGUGCACUAGUGUAAGACACCAAUGUGCUCCACCGUGUGUGCAGCCAUCAGUGUGAGAGCACAUAAUUUUGAGUAUUCCACUUACGAUCCAUGCGCUCAUCAGGGUUUUGCUCAUCUUCAUCAAAAUCGGGAAUGUAGAAGUCAGGAGGUACCUGCAGAUAUGAUUGUCAUCGUCAACUAAUUAAUGACUUCCCAUGCACAAAUAGCUAGUUUAGUUUCCUUUAAUCCUUUUGCAAAGCACUGCAGAUUUGACUAAUUGAAUCUUUGAUUGGUUAGCUUAGCUACUUAACAAAUACUUGCAUCUAACUCACCUCUUGCAUCUGUACACUUGGAGCAUGUUGGAUGCAACGGAGAUUUUCUAGUACUUGCAUUUUGAUUGUGCUAAGAUAAGAUUUGCUAUUUAAGUUCUCCUGCUCACUCAAACAAAAAAAGAAGAAGAAAUAUUAGGAAGGCUGCAAGAAUGCAGGAUUGGCACUGACAAUUUAAACUAGGUCAGACUUUAAUAGCAAACCAGGAAUCACAGGGAGUUUCAGUGCAGUUACAUACCAUGAGUCCACCAGGACUUUUCAAUGAAUAAUCAGGGGCAAAAUAUUUAAUAUACUCAUUUUCUGGAAUCUCUGCAAGAAAAUUGGAUUGCAACAAAAUCAGGUGCUAGAAAAGAGUAAUCUGAGCUAAUGAAUUAUGAUGUAUAGUGGGAGAAGUGUUAACGAUAAAUGGCAUGGAAAGGGUAGAAGAUGAGGCCAACCAUGAUUAAUGGCAUGCAUUAACCAAAAAAUGCAAAAUUGUAUAUAAUAUGACAUUAAAAAAUAAAAGAAAGCAAACUUUCAUAACAUGAUAUCAUUAAUGACAUGCCACUUCCCAACCCCAGAAACACUACAUAACCUAAGAACUCCACAUCAACUCACCACAGAACAUCAUGUAGUUAUGUUUACAAUUUCUUCACAGAGGGUGAUAUGUGAGAAUUCAUCUUCCAUGCUCAGUUUUUCCUUUCAAUUAGAAAAAGGAAGUGAUUAUAUAAGCAUACCAUUGGGCAGUUCUGUGUCUAAAAGAACUCCUGUUUCAACGGUCCAACAAGGGACCUGCAGGGGAGUAACUUCUCGUGAGCUUUGACAUUUCAUAAGAGGAGACUACUAAUAGGGAUUGGAGCAAAUAAGAACAUACCAACAAGGGCAAGUUGAAUUUCUUCACAAACCUAACACAUUCUGCAUGCCCUGCAACAAACAUCACAAUGCACACCAAAUUAAUACAUCACCAACUGGCUUAAGACCAUUCAUGCAGCACCAACAACAGAACAAGCAAAUAACUGCUCCGUGUGAGGACAAAUGCACAAGGGAAGAAAAAGAAAUGUAACAAUUACAAUUAGAUAUGCACCAUCAAUGGAAAGAUUGAAGCAGCCCAAGCGGUCCCCAGCCAACGAAUCUGCUCCGCAUUGAAGAACUAUUGCACCUGGCUGAUAAGUUUCUACAACCUUGGAAAUGAUCUGCAUGACAGAUAAUCAAGCAAAUUAUUAUACUUCGCUACUUGUUUUUGUGUCUGUGUGUGUGGGCGGGUUGAAAUCUGAACUUACUGUUUUAAAUAGUCGAGUGAAGCUAGUGUCAUCGAUUCCAUCUUUCAGUGGAACAUUUAUAGCAUAAAAUUUUCCUUCUCUUUCUCCUAGUUCCUUCAAUAAGAACCAUAUCAGCAUUUUAUUCCAAUUUCACUUGGUACAAGACUUGUCUGGAACAAGAAUGAUAUAUAGAUAAAAGGUUCAUAGAAACCAGGGAAAAUAUUUCUGAGGUUGCUGCAUCCCUGUUUCACUAAAUAUCAGGGCAGACAAACUGAGUUUGAGGGGGGGGGAACAUAAUGUUGCAUCAUUAAAAAAAGAAGAAGAAAAAGAUUUAGAGCAACCAGCAACGCUUUGUAUGAAAACAGAAUAAGGUAACAAACACAAAAGUACAGUUGCUUGACAUUAGGAAUAUAAAAGAAUGAAAAAGCAUUAAAUAAUCACCUUAACAUCACCAGUUCCAGGAAAGAACAUAUCUCCAUACUUGUGAAAACUCACAGUCAUCACCCUGUCAAAUGAUAAACAAAAAUUUUGUAUUUCUCAUGACUUUACCAUUCCACUACCAGUCCAAAUUCAUAAUAGAAUAUAAGCUUUCACUACCUGUCAGUGAAAUAAAAGGCUUCUUCAACACCAUCACCAUGAUGAACAUCUAUAUCAAUGUACAGAACACGAGCAUGGUGUUUCAGAAGCUCCAAAAUCCCCAAAACCAGGUCAUUGAUGUAAUAAAAACCAGAUGCCCCGCACUUUUUUGUAACAAAAGCCAGAGGUUCCAUCGCUCAUCACUUGUAGCUCCUCCCCUCUUCCUUCUUACAUUAGCAUGCGCAUGACUUUCUUUGCCAUCCACAUUAUAAUUGAACUCUCUAAUUCUUCCUCCUCUGUAAUCAAACUCUGCGUUAACUACAUCUUCCUCACCACUGGGUCCAUUAGCAUUCUCGCUGAACUCAUCACUUUCCAUGACUUUGGACACCUUCACUCGAUCCUUAAACCCCCUCAAUUUUACACUCCUUUCAUCUCUUUCCAACAAUGGCGCAUCAUUCCCCUCUAAAUCAUCCUUCAACUUAUAACUAUUUGACUUAUGUACUUGAUUCUUUUCUCUUCCAGUCUUAACAGACUCCAUAGCCUUCAAAUACUCACCAAAAGAUGGUUUAAAUUCUAACUCUUUCUCAAUAACCCCACCACCACCAACCAACCGAUUAUCAGACUCGUCUUUUUGCAAUGCCUUCAACCCACGCUUGCUCUUCAAUGGAACACCAGAAAUUGGAGGUCUCCAAGAAUUCAAAGGCCCACAUGAAGAAUAUGGCUUCCAGCUACAAUUACAGGUUAAGUUCCCAUUUCUUUCAAAACCAGAUAAACCGUUUUGCCCAUUUGUCAUAAUUAUCACCUCCAUAUUAUCAAUUCACACCACACAGUCUCACAAGCCAAGCAAACCUCUAUCUUGGAGUCACUAAUUAUAUUGAUCAGCCUGUUUUAUAAUUUGAUUGGAGAUUUGGGUAAUGGGUUAAAUAUAUAAAAAUUAUUGAUUAUAACGAUAAGUUUAACGAGUUUUUUUAAUGAAAUAAUAUUAUUUUAUAUAAAAAUUAUUGAUUAAAUAAUCUUACAUGAAUUUUUAUAGGAUUAAUCUAGUCAUCAAGUUUAUCAAAUCGAAUUAAAUAAAGUAAACUGUUCAAAUAAUUCGAAAACCAUCAUGAUCCGAGAGUUAUCAUGCUAUUGAAUCAACCAAUCAGCGCAGGCGGAUUUGAGAUCUAUGAAGAAAGAUGAUGUAGACGGGUGAAGUAAUGCGUUGAACUUCCACCAUAGCCUACACAGUUGACGAAGAAGGUAAUUGGGUAAUUUGUCACCUCUUUACCUGUGUCUGGUCUGCAUGGAUACAUCUCUUUCCAAGUGUCUGUCAUGAACACUCCCAAAAACACUUAAAAAAUGUUUGUUUUUUUAGGUAACUUGUUACUCAUGGUUUUUAUUUUAAAAAAUAAAUUUUAAAAAAUAAAUUUUUGAAAAAUAUAGUUAGGAGUGGUUGUUGGAUUUAGAUAUAUAUUAGAUAAAAAUUAUAAUUGAAGUUUAUGUAUAACAAAAAAAUAUAUAUAAAAUGUUUGGUAAAAGUAUAGUUGCGGUUGCUUUUUACUUGGAAAUGCAUUAAAAUAAAUUUUUUUUAUUUUUUUUUAAAUUUUUUUUUAUAUUAGUGUAUCAAAAUGAUCUAAAAACAUUAAAAAUAUAUUAAUUUGAAUAAAAAAAAAACAUUCAAAUUUAUUUUUAAAAAAUUUUGAAACGCAAAAACAAACAGGAUUUUACGAAAUUCCGUUAAGAAAACAUAUAAAAACUAAAAUUUACUAUAUAAAAACUGUAUUUUAAAUUUAAUUUUUUAAUAAAUUAUAUAAUAUAAAAUACAAUUUAAUUUAUUAUCAAACAACUAUCUAAGUAAAAACAAAUAAAGCCUAAAGCGAAAGGAAAAACAUAAUUUGCAUCGUCUGAGAGCCUCUUUUCCCCUGUGGAGGUUUCAAUUUCAUGGCCCCUUUACGUUUUCCACUAGAAAGUGAUGGGCAAGAAGAUUCAACACGUGUACAGAGUUGGUGUACAGAUUCAACAUCUUCCACUAGAAAAGAUGUGGAAUCUUUGCUUUUCCACUCAAGAGUGUAGUGCAGGGCAAGGCAAUAUUAGAACAGGUUAUCUACGGUGACUUCCUCUGUAUCUUCGAGCUUUCCACGCAGUCACAGCUUGAUGAUGUCUCUUUCCUUUGUUACUGCGUCACGAUGUCUUUUUGGAAAUUUAUUGGUAUUUAAUUUUAAGAUAAUUAAAAUACAUAUUUGUCAAAAAAUUGAUAAAUUAAUUUUACAUACAAAAAGUCAAAAUUCUCUUUUAUUAUUUAUUUUUUAUCUUGACAAAAACAUAUAUAUUUUUAAUUAGCAACAUAGUUGUUUUAAUAAAUAAAAAACUUGGUAAUUUAAAUAAGUAUUCAAGAAUUUUUAAUUAUUUAAAUUAAAAGAGAAAUCCUGAAUGGUUGUUAUAAAUUUGUUUCGCUCUUUGUUUUUUAGUCAUUUUUUUUUUAUAUUUUGUUAUAUGCUUUGUGUUUGAUUCCACUUGUCUAGCCUUUCUUAAUAUUUGUAGAUGGAGCGCAUGCGCGGUCCUUCUGCCUGAAGAGUAUACUAGUAAGGGUUGAAUCGGUCAUUUACUAUUAUCUCACAAAUUAAUAAAGAUGAAAGCAUAGUUAUUAAGAUUUUACUUUUACAAUCUUUAUGAUUUAUGAAUAUGCUUUCUUUUUUCUUGAUUUUUAAGUUUAAAUCCUCAAAUAAACAUUUAGAAAUACUUAAUAAAUUACUUUAAAUAUAGAAAAUCAAUAUAGAAGCAUAACAAUAAAUAUAUGAAAUAUAACCAUUUAGUAGAACAAAUUAAGGGGAAAAAAAAGAUAUCAGUAAAUACCUCUGGUUAUGGAUGCCAUGAUCGUUGGAACGCACUUCAUUCCUGAACAUGGAUGCCCUUGAAUUAGGGUUUUCUUUGUAAACAAGGGUUUAGAGUAAUAAUAUAUAGUUUCAAAGCAAGAUGGACAUGGAAUACUACCAAGGGUUUUACAAAACCAUAACGUUAAAAAAAGAGUUUCCAUGAAAAAUAAAUGGAUCGUAUAUAGGAGUGCUGAUUUUGUUACAAGAGAAGCAGAAAUUAACACAUAUAGAGGAAAUCAAGAAGAAUUGAUUUGGAAAAAAAUAAAAGGGUUUAUUUUUUUGGGAAAUAUUUUUAGGAAUCCCAUGAAUCAAGUCAUGGAAAGUGUAUUUAUUUUAAUUUUUCCUUUUUAAUAAGAUUUUUUUUAUAAUCUUUUCUUUAAUUGGUAAUCAUGAAGAAUUAAUUAAAAGUUUAAUUUGUCAGCAAAAAGAUUAGCAAAGAAAUCCUAGAUAUUGAGAGUGUGUCCCGGCCAAAUCUCUUUGUGCUAAUAACUUUCUUAAUUAAACAAUGUUUGAGUCCUAAUAAAUACAGUUUUCUCAAUAAGUAAGACAAUUUCAUUUAAUAAUCCAUGGCCUUCAAUAUAUUUCUCGACAAGAAUGGAAUAGGAUUUGAACUUACAAAAUUGAAAACCAAUUUUCUACCGAUCUGAUCUAGUCUCAAAAAAAGAGAAAAAAAAAAAUAAGUGAAUACUAAAAUUCACAUUAACUAAUAAAUUGAAUUAAAUUUCAAGACACGUACACAAAAAUGUAUAUAUAAUGAAUGCUUUGCAAAAUUAGAAAAUAAAAAGAAAUUAAAGACAUGAACAUGAGGGAUUAUGAAAAUUCAUGAUAUCGUAAUAAUACGUUUAAUUUAUCAAAGCCUCGUCCUUGUAUAUUCAAUAAAUGGGACAUCCACUCAUCCAAAUGAUGAAAUAUGUAAAAUCAUCUCAAUUCAAUAAUUUAAGAUAUUAGAUGAGGUUUCAGGAUAUGAUUUAUAUUAUUCUCUAACAUAUCAUCUCAAGUGAAAAACUUUUAGACUUGAAACUUGAAUAGGCUCACAUUACCUUGUGCUUAAUUUUUAUCAAAUAAAUAGAGAUGGUGAAAUUUGAACUUGAGACCACUUAGUCAUUAAAGCUUUGAUACCGUGUUAAAAAAUAUUCUCAGCCUAAUAGCUUAGCUGUUAGGUAAUGUUUUAAGAUAUAAUUAUAUUAUUCUAUAAUACAUUCCUUCAAGUAAAAACUCUUUGGACUUAAAGCUUGCAUAAAUCUAUAUUAUUUUGUGCUUAAUUUUUAUCAAAUAAAUAAAGAUAAUGAGAUUCGAACUCAUGAUCGUUUGAUCAUCAAGGCUCUGAUACCAUAUCAAAUAACCAUCUCAGUAUAAUAAUUUAAAUUAUUAAAUAAAAUAUUAAAAUAUAAUUUAUAUUAUUUUUUAAUAAUAUAUAAAGCAGAAAAAGUCUUUUGAUAAAAGCACCAUUUCUUUAAAGAGAGUUCAAACUUGAACCUCUUCUUUAUAACUAAAAAAAAACAGUGAAAAAAAUUACUACCUAUUAAUUAUAUGAUGAUUAAUUAAUGUUAUAGCUACAAGAAGGUACGUAGACAAAGCUUAAGACCUGACUUCGCCCCAUGGUUUUCUUGAAGGGAAGUACAAGUGCCAGGCUAGCUAGCAAGCUAGUUUACAUUAUUCUGUAUCAUCGUUAUCAUUUCAAUAAAACAAAUAUAUAAAGAUAUGCCUAUUGUAAUUGUUUAUGGAAGCAAUAUGGUUAUUAUUCUUAUUUUAAUUUUUUUUGCUUUAAUAUCCAUAACCAUAUUAAUUUUAAAAAAUAUAAUUUAAUUGAUUAAAUUUUAAAUUUAUUUUUUAAAAAUUACUAAUUUAAAUUUUAUAAAUCUUAAAGUUAGUAAAGACUUAUAUUAUUGUUAAUUUUAAAAUUCAUGAAAUUAAUCGAAAUAUGUAGAAGCUGAUCCGGAAAUCUAUAUUAAUUAAAAAAAAAAGAUUAAACUUAAGCCAUAUAUUAAAAUUUUGGAUGAUGAAGGUAACAGCAGUGUCAAUAACGAGGAUGUGCUGGAAGGCCUUCAGCCUCACCCAGACAUAAGAAGCUUGACAAUUGAGGGUUAUGGAGGUGAAAAUUUCUCAUCAUGGAUAUUGCAACUCAAUAAUCUGACGGUGCUGAGAUUGAAAGGCUGCAGCAAGUUGAGGCAACUCCCAACACUUGGAUGUCUUCCACGCCUUAAGAUUCUAGAGAUGAGAGGAAUGCCUAAUGUGAAAUGUAUAGGCAAUGAGUUCUAUAGCAGCAGAGACAGCGCAGGUGUACUGUUUCCAGCACUACAAAUACUCACUCUAUCCAGGAUGGAUGGUCUUGAAGAAUGGAUGGUACCAGGUGGAGAAGUUGUUGCAGUAUUUCCUUGUCUUGAAGAGUUGAACAUUGACAACUGUGGAAAGUUGGAAAGCAUUCCGAUAUGUCGUCUUUCAUCUCUUGUAGAAUUUAAAAUUGACAGUUGUGAUGAGCUGAGAUAUUUGUCUGGUGAAUUUCAUGGCUUCACGUCUCUUCGAGUUUUACGUAUAAGGUGGUGUCCAAAGCUGGCAUCCAUUCCAAGCGUACAACACUGCACAGCUCUGGUGGAAUUGAUUAUAUUGUGGUGCGGUGAGUUUAUCUCAUUUCCUGGUGAUUUCCGAGAUUUGAAUUCUUUGAAGAAAUUGAUUGUUUAUGGGUGUAAAUUGGGAGCUCUUCCAAGCGGACUACAAUGUUGCGCAUCUCUAGAGAAAUUGGAGAUAUGUUGGAACAGUGAUCUUAUCCAUAUCAGUGAUUUACAAGAAUUGUCUUCGCUUCGAGCAUUAAAUAUUAGAGCUUGUGAUAAGCUCAUCAGUAUUGGUUUACUACAAUUGCGUUCUCUUGUUCAAUUAGAAAUCAACUUGUGUCCCAGUUUGAGUGAUAUUCCAGAGGAUGAUUGGUUGGGUGGCCUCACCCAACUGCAGAAAUUGAUAAUCGGUGGUUUCUCAGAGGAGAUGGAGGCUUUUCCUGUAGGAGUUUUAACAUCAUUCCAACACCUCAACUUGAGUGGGUCCCUUAAAUCCCUAUACAUAUAUGGAUGGGAUAAACUGAAGAGUGUACCACACCAUCUUCAACACCUCACUGCCCUCAAGACAUUGGAAAUACAUAAUUUCAACAGUGAGGAGUUAAGAGGAAGCAUUGCCAGAAUGGAUGGCCAACCUUUCUUCUCUUCAAUCUCUUUGGAUUGGGGGUUGCAAGAAUCUCAGGUAUAUGCCAAGUUCAACAGUCAUUCAACGCCUCUCCAAAUUAAAGAAAUUGUGGAUUUGGCAGGGAUGUCCACAUCUUCAAGAAAAUUGUAGAAAAGAGAAUGGCUCUGAGUGGCCCAAGAUUUCUCAUAUCCCAGAAAUCUAUAUAGAGGUAAGUUGGGGUUUUAAUUAUUCAGUUACUUAGUAGUAUGCUGAGGAGAGAGAACCAAUUAAAGUAUUCAAAUUAAUGAAAGCAAUAAUUAGACUUCAUUCUUUUAAGAAUGAUUUAUUUCUCAUAUCCAACAUUUUUUAGACUAAUAUCAAAAUUAACCAAAUCAAUCAUAAUCAAAUAUCUUAUUAUCUUUUAUUAUUAUGUUAACCAAAUUUAUACUUGUGAUCAAUGAUAAUAUCAAUAACCAUAAAUCAUUAUUUUUGUGGAAUAUAUAGGACAGACACUAUCAAAUGCCAUUAUUAUUUAGCUUAUAUUUAUUGCAUUGUCUAUACAGUAUUAUUUAUUUUAAAAAUUACCUAAUCAUUUCUUGCCUAAUCAAUUUUAACUUAGCUAAUUUCAUUUAAUAACAACCAACAAGAUUAUUACUGAGAUUACUAACCAAUAACUUUUUAGUAGCAAAUACAAUUAAACUAAAAAUACUCUUUAGUUGACCCCAAGAUUAAAAAAACAAAAAAAGGGCAAACUUGGCUCCCGUUUAUAUAAAAUAUAGAUUUAUAAAUUACAUAUUGAUAAUAUAUUAUCUAACUCCAACCAUUUUGUAUUUUAGCGUUGUUUAUCUUUCAAUGGCUAACACUAUGUUAGCUAUUUUAACUGUUGUAGGAACCUCCAAGACGAUGCCAUGGAAUGGUUAUUUGAAGCUUAUGCAGACUAGUGUUUAUCGGGCUAAAUGGUGGAUAAAAUGUGUGACUUGUACAAUUUUCUGUGGUAUUUAUGAGAUAAGUGUUUUUGUCAGAAAUGGAUACUUAGAGUGUGUUUGAUAUUAUUGUAAUUGUUGUGAUUGUGGUUUGAAAAAAAUUAUUUUAUAAAAAGUACUUUUAAUUGAGGUGGUUUGAAAAAAUAGAUGUUUGGUUAAAACUGUGGUUGAAAUUGAGGUUGAAGAAAAAAUAAUUUAAUGUGUUUGGUUAAGAAUGCUUUUAAAAUUGAGGUUAUAAAAUAAUUUAAAAAAUAUAUAUAUAUAUUAAUAUUGUGUAUUUAACUAUUGUUAUUACAUCAUAAAAUAAAUCAUACUUUAUAUAAAAUAUUUUUUUAUUAUUCUAUUGAACGAUCUACAAUUCUAUCACGUUUGAAAUACAUCCGACAAUUUUCUUGGAUUCUUUAACACGCAACAACAUAACUUGUAAAAUAUAAUCAGGAACAAAUUAGAAUUGUGAUCAAAUUCUGCAAAUACUAUGUCAUCAAGCAAAUAAAACACAAUUAAAAAAUAAAAAAAUAUUUUUUUUACCGGGUCGGACCUGGUUCAAUACAUUUUAUUGCUCCACGAAAGGCAACCAUGCUACAAUGUUCACUGAACAGUGUAGCAUGCCUCCACUGUUCAGUGAACAAUAGAGGCAAGUGUUGUUACUGGUUUUAUAACAGUUUGAUGGCAUUAUAGUAAAUUAUAAAAGAAAAUAAUUCACGACACAAGAAAAACUUAACCAAGAUUUCUUGAUGUGUAAUUGUAUAAUAAUAUUUUUUACAUUGUCGGAUGGGGAAAAAAAAUCAAAGCUAAAAGUAUUUAAUUGAUUAAAAAAAUAUUGUUAAAUUUCUGAUAUCUAAUCCUUGAUCGGUUGCAACUAUAAGCUAUAUUACUCUAUUCAUGAAAAUAUCUUAAUAUUGAACUUUAAAAUAAAUAUAAUCUCAGUUCCAUCUAAUACAUAUAAAUAUCACUAACAGGUUAAUAUAUAUAUAUAUAUAUAUAUAUAUGUUGAUAGAGCUUUCAAAAUAACUUUUAAAAAUCUUUCAAACACUUAGCUUUUAAGGGAAAAAAAAAAGAGACAAAAGCCACUAGUUCUCCAACAUGCACUGAUAAGGUGUUCGGGAGUAUGAUUGUAGUUAUUUUUAAAAAUAUUUUUUAUUAAAAAAUAAAUUAAAAUAAUUUUUUUAUUUUUUUCAAUUAUUUUUAAUAUCAACACAUCAAAAUGAUAUGAAAACACUAAAAAAAAUAUCAAUUUGAAGUAAAUAAAAAAAUAUAGUUUUUUAAUCUUUUUAAAAACACUUUUGAAAUGAAAAAACAAACAGAGUUUAAAUAUACUAUUUGCCUUACAUUUUUUAAAAACAAAAUAAAUUAUCAUCCAAAGAAAAAACAAGAAUUGAUUUUUUUUAACAUUAAAAUCAUAAAAAAAUAUAUAUUAAUUUAAUGUUUUUCAAGUAAAAUAAACUCUCUUUUUUUUACUCUUCAUUGAUCAUUUUAUUCAUUUUUAUCUCCUUUUUAGAGAUAAAAAGAAGAUAGCAAAGAGAUGAAGGCAUGUGUAGUAGUUUUUUAUUUUUAUUUUUGUUGCUGCAAAAUGACACAAUGAGAAUGGCUAAAAAGUCCUAAAGAUUAGUAAUCGUUUUAUACUAGUAUAAUCUCAAUCUUUGUAGAACCAUUAGUAGCCACCAAUGACUUAUUUCAUAUCAUACCCUUUUUCAUGUCAUCUUGAUUCUCUAAAAUCUCCUUUCUCUCUCUCUCUCUCUUUUUUUUAUCAUUUCGAUAAAUUAGGAUAAAAACAACAUAUUCUUAUGUUCGCUCUUAACAACUUUCAUUUUCUUUCAUUACUAUAUUAAAGGUAUAAGUAUUACAUUGUUUAUUAUGCAUGACAUUCUUGUCAUAUUAUCAUGGUCUAUACAAUAAUAAAUAACAUACAUCCAUAGACACAACAUCAUAUCAAAUACUAUCAAAAUAUCUCUUACCUAUAAAAAAUAAAACAAGAUAAUAUUCAUCCAUGAUUACAUUGGGAUCUUGAUUCAUCUACUUCAAUUUGUAGGGUAUAAGGUGUUUUUUUUUUUAAGUUGCAACUUCUGUACUACUUCAAUUAACACCAUCUUUUCACAAUUACCACUAUCAAUAAUCAAAUUAAAUACACUGUCCUUGAUGGUACAAGUUGAAAGAAAAAGACUAGUGUGUAGCCAAUCUUGAUUUGAAUCACUUUUAAGAAUAAUCAAACUCUUUUGGAUAAUUGAGGUAGCACCAUUAUUAUCUUAGAAAACCUCCUCACUACCAUAUUAAUCAUCAUAAAUAGGAUCACUUCUCUUCUCAUUAUGUUAUUUUACUUACAAAUGUUUACACUUACGACUCUUUGGUUUAUGACACUUAUAAAUUCAAUGUCCUAAUUCAUCAUAUCUAAAACAAUAAAAUUUAAAACCAUAUCCAGAACUUGAAUUUUAACUUGUGAUAUAUUAGUUAUCUAUUCAGGCUAAAUGAAUGAUAUUUUUUUUGUUAGCGCACACCUCCUUAUUAUUUUGGUCAAAUCAAAAGCCACCUUUGUUAAUUACCCUAAUAACCUAUUGUUUAUCCAUAAUCAAAGCUCUCUUAUAGGCUUACAAAACUAUUUAUAAAGAAUGCAAACACAAUACAUCUUGCAUAAACUAUCAUAAUCUACUUUAAGUACCUAGCAAUCAACUACUCUUUCUGAAAAAUCAUUCUUAGCCACCAGUUGGUAGAGUUUUCAAUGUACUUAGCAAUAGUUCUCCCAUCCCAAUGUAUGCAGUCAUUGGUAAAAAGUUUAAAUGUAUCCAAACAAAAAAAAAGUGUUUCUUUAUCUUUCUCUUUAAUUGCUUCCACCAAGCAUAAGCUCGCCCUUUUAAUCUAAUACCAAUAAGCUUCACCUUUAUCUGCUCUUAAACUUUUAUGCACUUGAAAAUCCUUUAUACUUCAUUCAACUAAACGAUAAACUCUUCCACUUGUAAAGUUCCUAUAAAAUUAGAAAGUUUAACUUAAAAAUCAAAAUCUCCAUGAAGUGCUGCCCAAUUAAAAGGUUGCCUCCUCUAGAUUAGCCAGGGUUCACAAUUACUCUCCUCCUAUUCUUGUUAGGUGUUUUAUUUCAAUUGUCACAUAAGCUUUGCGAUCUACCUUUGUAUAUCCUCAAUUUCUAGCUCAUGAACCUUUUUCUCUAAAGAGGAAACCUCUUCAUCCUCUCCUUGAACAUGUUUAGUUUUAUUAUUUUUUCCAGCUAUGGUUCUUUUGUAGCAUAUAACAAGCAAACAAUAAUCAAAGAUUAUUAGGUUCUGAUACCAACUAAUAUAAACAGAAAUAAUACAAAAAAAUAGCAAAAACAAACAACACAAUUCUACUAAAAAGGAUCAUCACACCAAAAACCAGAAUUCAAAAUUUUAUUUCUUAAUAAUUUACCAUGUCAAGUAGUUUCCUUUGUAAGAGAUUUACAACUCCUUAAAUAAACUAAAAAAACACAUAAACAAACUAAAAACCUUGAAAAUAAAUAAUAAUAAAAAAGCAAUAAAAUUCAUAAACAAAAUAAAAAAUAAAAUUAUUAAACAUAAUAUUUUAAAAUAAAUAGAAAAAAAGAUAAUAACUAAGAAAAAUCAAUUUUCCAAAAAAAAAAAAUAAUCUCCUUGGAAACUCUAUUGUCCCUUCAUUUAUUCGACUAGCUAGUUUGGGCAUAUAAUCACAAUACGAGGCUUCAAGACACCUUGCUCAUACAUUAUUUAUAACCACAUUAAUGUGAUGUUUUGUAUUAAAAAGAUAGGAAAUGACAACGAAGUCCUUGGAGGCUUAAAGAGUAAGUAUAAUUAAAUAAGGGGUAUAGUAGUAAUUGAAUAAAGAGAUGAUAAAUAUAAAUAGAAAGUAAAAAAAAAAAGAGGGAUCUGAAAAUUUGAAGAACAAACCGUGAGAGAGAAGGGAGGAAGAAGAAGAAGAAGAGAAAAUAAGAGAAAAUAAAGGGAAAAGGAAGAGAUUGGGAGGAAAUAAGUUUAAACGUAAGAUUUAAGUUGUUAAAUAUAUAAUUAUGUGUUAAUUAAGAUUUAAUUUUGGUUUUGAUUAAUUUUAGAGUUUUGAAAUUUGUGUUUUGAGUUUAUUGAUGAAUUAAUUUGAAGGUUAGGGGUUGAUUGUUGUGGGUAAUAAAUUAUUAAGUUGAAUUUGAGAUAUUGUAGAUAAAAAUGAUGAUUUUGAGUUAUGGUUUUGUUUGAAUGGUGAAUUUGUGUUAGAAAUCAGGGGAUAACAGUAGGUAAUCUGUGAAAAAUUCUGGGUUUGAGGUUGAAUAUGAUGAAAAUUCAAUUUGAUCCCUCAAUUUGCGAAAAUUAGAGUUUAGUCCCCAAACUUUGGAAAAUUACAAAUUGGUCCCUGGAGCAUAUUUCGAGAUUCUGAACAGAAUAACAUAUGAAUUAUGGACAGAAUUACUGUAUAGAUAAGAGAAUUUAACACUGUCAAUUUAGUCCUCCAAUUUGACAAAAAGUACAAUUUGACCCUAAAAAUUUGGUAAAAUUACAUAAUGGUCCCUGGAGCAUAAUGAUAUAUCCUGGACAGAAUUGAGGAUUUAUUAUGGUCAGAAUUUCAGUAUAUUUAUGGAUUUAUGAUAAAUUUCAGUUUGGUCCUCCAAUUAGACAAAAAUUACAAUUUGGCCUUAAAAGUAUAAUAAAUUCCAGAUUAGUCCCUAGCUGUAAUAUUAGCUUUUGCAGAUUAGUUUGAUGAAUAAUUAAGGGUUAUUUACCAAUUUUAUUAGUUGUUUUUAUUAUUGAUUAGAUUUUGGGUUUUUGAGAAAAUUGACUAGUUAGUUUAAAAACAUAUAGGGUUCCGGAAUACACCCUUAGUUAAGUGUAUUAAAUAGGUUAAAUGUUCUUUCGAGUCAUUCUUGAAUAUGUCUCCUUUGUAUUCAGAUAAUCCUAAUAUUCUAUCGGCGAGACAUUAGUAGAAUUUUCUUCAAUGUCUGCUUUUGACUUCUGUUUGCUUUUGAGUCAGGUGAGUGGAAUAAUCUUUAAUAUGCAUAUAAUAUAAAUAAAUAUGUAUGUUGAUUAUACAAUGAGUACAACUAGUAAAUUUCUUGAAUAUUUAUAUAUGUUGCUUUAUUUUCCGAGUACUCAUUUAUUCUUGAAUUUGCACUUGCAAUCUGUCAAGGUAAAUUCUAUUUGAUAUGAUAUAUGUUUCUUUGAUGAUUCUGUGAAUAUUUAUUAUGCCUUGAUAUGGGACUUGUCAGUAACUCCAUGCUAAUGGAGAAUAGUUAGCCUGUGUGCACAUAAUAUUCUGUAUACCUAGCUGGUGAGAAAGGCAUCAGCCUGUGGUGACUGAUCAUCCCACAGUGGUCACCGACGGGUGUCAUCUGGUCACUUUCGGGUGUCAUCUGAUCUCUGACAUGUAAUCCACUACGUUAUAAUAAUAUGUUUAGUAAGUAUAUGUAUAUGCAUAUCAAGAUAAAUUAUUUUGCAAACUAUUAAUAUCUGAAAUGUAUAUUAAAUGUUAUUCCCUCACUGAGUUGGUUGAACUCACCUCUCAUUCUUAAUAUUAUUUCAGGUUCUUAGUUUCUGAUAGUAGUUAGACUUUGUUGAGUGUUUCCACUUCAUUAGUUCUGGUCGGUAUGCCUUACUUGUUUGCGAGGCUUUCCUUUUAGUUUUGAUUUGAUGUCUUAGACGCUCCACUAUUACCUUGGUUUAAUUAAAUUUGGAUUUUGACAAUGUAAUGAGUAUUAUGAAUUAUUAUUUUUGUUUUAAUAACUAUCUUUCGGUUUCACCAGUUUUAAAUAAUAUGAUAUUUCUAAAUAUUAUGAGACGCUGUGUAUUUUUUAAUAAAUUGUUCUUUUUAUAUGUCCGUUCUGAGGCUUAGCAUAGGUGAGGUGUCCUUUCGACACCGCUCCUGCGUUGCCGGUCACGGACCCGGGAUUCAGGUCAUGACAACUAAGGAACACAGUAUAUCACAAGCAUUAACAAGGAGAUACAUCUGAAGCCAUUUUAUAGGCUUAGUCCUUUUGCAUAGUAGCAGGUCGUCAAGCCCUUUACAGUGGUUUCUUAAUAGAAUGCGGAGCUUUAUACUGAUAGAAACUCCUUAAUUGGAUCACAUAGUCUUGAGGCAUUCUCAGGACGAAUAAUUUCAAGACUCAUUCUCACCCUAAACCUUAUCAUCAUUACUAGGACAUGCUGGUUUGCUAGCUACAUCGGUGCAUCACAUUAAGAUUUCAAGGAUUUUCAUGAUUUAACUGUAUAGAAAAUUUAUGUUUGAUUGAAUCCAGGAACCUUUACACGAGGCCUAUUAUAAUCACUACAGGAUAUUAAUAGAUUUUGCAAUACAGGGUUUGGUGAGUUGCUUUGGGCAGCAAGCACACGCACCUCGUGCAUGAGCCGCAUGAGGGUGUCCUUUCUAAACCGCUGAGCAUUUUCUUCGAAUAAAUUCAACCAGGCACUUUUGCAGAAUGCUUGGGACUCUCCAGCUGAAUUUGUGGUAAUACAAGCAAGAGCAGAAUCGAAGUCUUCUUUUUCAAGCAUCAUGCAAAAUCUUUCUUUGACAAGAGGCGGAGGAGGAAUCCUAUCUUCCUGCUCCAAGUGCUUCCAAGUUAUUUCCAAAACUUCUCCCUGCAGUUACAAUGGGAAUUUAUAACUUCUCUUGAAUUGAAGAUUAGAAACAAAAAGAACACUAUUGAUGCUGUUUAAUCGUUGCCACUACACACAUACUACAUGUAUUUUUGUUUUUAUUAAUAUAGGCAUGAACAAUUCUUUAGUACUUAAUCUGAAUUCUGAGAUUUUACACUUCCUAAAAUUUUCAGAAUUCAGAAUUUUCUAACAGAUGAAUUACCUAGAAGCAUUUUACAAAGAUUGUGUCCAAAGUGUACUAAAAAGAUAAGUUCUUGUCAUCCCUCCUAAGGAAUUCAACAAGGCAUCCAUUUUAUUCCUACAAGUGCUUUUGACUGUUCUCAUAUAAUAGCACCUUGAAUCAGGCUAUUCAGUCAGGACGUAGAUGCAGUUUGGCAGCCAUUUUGACUGUUAUUUUUAUGGAAAUGCUAUUAACAUCCAUUUCAAUAAUAUGUUCACGUACAAGUGUAAUUUCAAAUAAUCACAAUAGAUUUGAGAAGUACCUUUCCAGCUCUAGAAGCAUCCAGUACCAUUCGAAGAUGACGGUUUGCAUUGAAGUGGAACCCAUGGCGCAACAUCUUUUGAUAAAUGUACUCAAAAUCAUCCCACCUGUUCUCUGCAAUGCUUGCAUCAAGCAUGGUGUUGAAAGUAUAGAUAUCUGGUAUUACCCGAAACUUGUAAUCAGAUUUUCUGCUGAUAUGAUUGCCAUCGUCUAACAACUUGUUGAAAAGCUCGUUUGCUUCUUCAAACAAUCCAUGUUCUAGAUACGCUUUCAGCAUUAUGUUGCAAGUAACAAGAUUUGGGGGGCAAAAGUUCCUCAUUUGAUUGAAGAUGUACACAGCGUUUUGAAUGUUUCCAGAGUCCAGACAAGCUUGGAUUAAGCCAGUGUAAGUUACUACAAGCGGCUUAUUAGCAACCUUGCAUAUUUUCUCAAUCUGUGAAAUGAAAAGAGGUUGUGAUGGACUGUUUGUUCAAAGAAAAGUAGUGGCAAUAAUAAGCACACAAAUUGUAGGUGGUUGAAGUGACACCAAACCUGUUGCAAUCUACUUGUUUAUAUCAUGGAGUUUUACAAAAGCAUCAAUGAGUGUACAAAAUAUAUAGCUUUAAAGCUUGCAAACUAUUAAAUGCCCAAAGAGACAUCCCAGCAGUUAGGAAAGGGCCCCAAUUGUGCAGCCCAAGGCUUCUUCAGUCUCUCAAUGAACCAAAGACCCACUUGCAAAACAUGCAUAUUCUUUGUGCAUUCAACAGUAUCAUAAACUGAAACCUUAACUGGGCAGGCAACAGUUAUCAAUACACAGAUUUUGCUUUUUGCAGUGAUAUAGCUCCCCGUGCUCAUAAACUCUAAUUAGCAACACACCAUUCAAUGCAUGCGGAUCGUUUAGCUACAAUACAGUGUUCUUUAUAUUCAGUUUUAAAUAUACAUGCACAACAGAAACAUAGUAGAUUAAGCAUAAAAAGAUUACCAGAUCUAGUGCUUCUUGACACCUUCCAGAUGUACAGAGACAGCGUGCAAGAUCAUAAUAAAGAGCAGCUGAGCCCACAAUUCCCCGUCUUUCCAUGUCUUUAACAGCCAACACAGCCUCUUCUGUCUUACCCUCUCUCCAAAAAGUAUUGACAAGAACUGUAUGUAACAAGAAUUUGAUUUCAAAAGGAGGUUCUAUAAAAUCAAAUGGAAGAAAUGAUAGAUCAGUCAAGCACCUUUAUAAACUAAGGCAUUUGGAAUGGAAGACUUCUGAACUUUUUUGAAGAACUCAUGAACCAAGUUGUACUUGCCACAAGCAAGCAUGACCUGCUCAAGUAUGCGGCAGAAAACCAUUUUAUCAUUUCCUGGUUAUUACAAAAACUAAGAUGUAUAUUCAAGAAAAUGAGAAUAUCUAGCAAACUGUUACCAGUUCCAUAAGUCCACUUUAUAAUACAACAUAAGGCUUUUCAUAGGAAACAUUUUUCUUGAUGGUAGGCAGGUCAAAAGGAUAGCUCAUGCUCCUAUGCUUUGACAAUGAUAUUUCACACCAAAACCACCCUAAAAGAUGCUAGAUUGAGCACCUAUCUUAAAGAGCAGAAAAUGAUGGGAAAUUAUCACUUCAUGAUGCUAUGAAAUGGUACCCCCUCUAACUACUGAAAACUAACAUUGGAAUCCAACAUUAACAGAUAGUAGAAACUACCACAUGAACACAUGAGAGUGAAUCAAGAUCAAACAACCCUUAGAAUUAUCUUAAUUGUGAAGUAUCAAGGUGCAGUCAUUUGAAUAUGAACCAUAAAAUUGAAUAUGAGAAACAGAAAGCCCAACCAGAGAAUUGAUAUUGUACAGCAAGUUCAUAUGACACCCUAUUCAACCAAACUGAUGUACCUAGGUUAGGUUACUAACUUCAUACUGCACAAAUCAAAGUCUUUUUUUCUAAAUUAAACCUUUAAUUUAGCACUGGGUAAAACCUGGGGUACGUUCAAACCUCUCAGCCAUCAUGCACCAGGCAACAGGUGAGAUGAAUCUCUGGACAACACCAAAGAGGUUUGUGGUAGGAUUUGAACCAAUAGUUCAUGAUGUACUUGUACUCAGAAACAAUAAGUCCAUGUGCUUAGAUUAGAAGUCUAGUUCUAUGAACAGCUCUAUGAAAGUUGAAAUAUGGAGUGAUAAUCAUAGUAGCAAGUCAGCAAACAUGACUAGCUGUUUAUCAGAAUAAUGAUAAACUCAUACAACAAGGUAUUGCUAAGAAUCUAAGAUACAGGUUCUGCUGAUGUGAAAUAUUGAUAAGAACCAUGGAUAGUAAAAACAGCUAUUACCUCCAUAACAAGUCCAUACGUUGCAGUAGAAGGUUGCACACCCUUUUCCUUCAUCUGCUGUAAGACCCAAAAUGCACCUUCCCAUUGUUUUCGCCGAACACAAGCAUUUAGGACCUACAUACAGAAGGAAUGUCAAAAUGCCGUGGAUGAUCAUAGCUGCAUUUAUGCAUUAUGUAAAUUGAAAUGAUUCACAGGUAAUUGAUUGAAUAUGCCAAGGGAAAUAGAUAAUGCAUGAUCAGCAUGUCAUGGCACAAGUCCAUCCUUGGUGUUAUACCCAAUUAGUGGGAAGAGAUGCAAUGGAUGAGAUAGUCCAAAUUCUUAGAAUGAUCUUAAGACUACGGAAAAUAUGCCCUCUCAAAACAAUAUACAGUAAUCAUUUUACUUUGCUGUUACAGGGACCACAAAGCACCCUUUCAGGUCAUCUCAAAUUUAACAAAGCAUGCUUAUCUGUUGAUAACAAGAUCAGUUCAUACCUAGAGAACAUGCAGAAAAACUAUAGAUUUUUAGAUAACAGAGAUAAGUCAAAACUCAGCUUAAUGGGUAUCAGUUAGAAAGGUGUAGAUUCCGUAAAAGGGAGUUGUCAUCCAAAAAUUUCAGAGGGUUAUUAUGUCAUCCAGCAUAAGCAUAAGGUGAUGCAAUAUACCUUGAUAACAGUUUUGAACUAUCAUGUAUUUCAGGCUGACUUUGAGCACAUGCCCACAAACUCAUGCAUGCAGAGUUAAUUACAUUUGACAUGCUUGGGACAACUAACAGUCAUCAAUAUGGGUUUUGAAGGAAAAAUUAUAGUGCAGAGGUUACAGACAAAUGUUUUCCAGAUAUAUACGGCUAGUUUACUGCCAAGUGUCACUAACCGCAUUGUAGACAACAAUAUCAGGUUCCAACCCUAGGUCCCGCUUCCCAAGCGCCCCAGAUUUGAACUUCUUGGGAGGAGAUCGCAUGCUAUCUAUGACAUCAAAAAGUUCCUUCAUAUAUCCUGCUUGCCCGAGAGUGACAGCUAUAGAACGAUAAGCUACUAGGUCAGGAUACAAACACAUUUCUUGCUGGAGAGAACAGGGGAAAAAAAGAAGAAGCAAUGACACAAGUCAGUGAGGAUUUCCUUUUAUAUUGUUCAAUUAAUAACCUUGUAUUAAAUGAGAAAGGAGCAAGGCAUCAGAUGAAAAUUCUUGAGCAUUACCUGCAUUGCAUGAAAUAAAUUGAGUGCCUCCACAGGUCUCUUUGCCUUGCCAAGUACAUGAAGUGCAGUUGUGUAAACAUGACUGUAUCAAGACAUGAUGAUUUACCCAAAUUACCAAUCAAAAUUUACAAUUUUGUGAACUAAUUCAAGAGAGGAUAAAAUUUUGGAUUGAGUGAAACUAUAUUUAGAAACAGAACAAGCUUUUUUUCUGCAACGUUAAAAGGUAAAAGAGUAUAUGUUGCAAAAAAGCUACACUCCAAAGAACUAAAGUGGGCUUCUCUUUCCUUACAGGACAUAGAUUCACCCUGCAGUAUGAUGAUGUUCAAUUUAAUCAAUUAUGUAGAACAAUCUAGAUUUUUUCUGGGAAGAAACUCUGAGAGAUUAUCUUUGAAAUUUACCAAGCAUCAAGAUAAAUUCCAUUGCUCCUUGAAUUUCAGUACUCUGUACUCUAGAAAGGUAUUUUCGUUCAUGCAUACAAACAGCAGUGCAAAGAAGAUGAGAAGAUGUUACCUUAGCCUGUGGGAUUUAUAGCGUUCUCGUAUGUUAAGCCACUCGAUAACUUGUAGCACUCGCCUCCAAUUGCCCAAUUUACCCAAUAUCUGGAUAAUCCUCAAUACAGAAUGAUCUGUAUAUUUAACUCUAGCACUACGCAUUGCCUUAGAGAACAUCCACUCAGGCAUAUCAAUAUCAGCACCAUUUAACCUGCCGAAAUGAGCUACUUCAACUUGGCAUGAUAAAUGAAUCAUCAAAGAUACAAAGAAUGAGACUGGUUCAAAUGAAGCAAUGAGCUACUUCAACUUGGCAUGAUAAAUGAAUCAUCAAAGAUACAAAGAAUGAGACUGGUUCGAAUGAAGCAUAGAAAAGAUAGAUGUACAUAUUUAAUGUAAGAGAACUUGUAUGUUCACAAGGUUAUUGACACAAGCACACAUGCCCACAUUGAAGAAAGAAUAGACAACUAUUAGAAAUUAGAAAGUUAAUUUGAUCUGAUGUAAAAUUGGGAAUAGACAAUUAUUAGGAAUUAGAAAGUUAACUUAUCUAUGAUGUAAAAUUUUUACCUAAACUUAAUAUCUAUGACUUGAUUUUAUACUGGUAUAUAAAAAUUACAUCUAAAAAUACAAAGAAAGGAUAUGCUAAAAAAUCCAAGACAAAGAAAACAAGAUUUGAAUUAGAAAUUAUGAGGAACAAAUUUCAUUCCUUGUAAAAUUAAAAAUUAUUAGGAAUUGCUAAAAAUAUUUAGAAUAUGAGCAUUUUAAGCACAUGGAUUUUGUUAGGAAUUCCACUGGAAUGCAGGCUCUCGAGAAUUACUUUCUAAAACAAAACAUCAUCCACACAAAAAGGCAUUCCCUUCAUUGAUGUCGUAACAACUUGUUCCUCCAUAAUUUGUUUACUUUUAUAUGAACUGUCCUGCUUUUUGGAAAGAACAAACCAAGUAAGAAACCAAAGGCACCCCUUGCCCCCCAGGGCUAAGGCUGUCCCACCACAACAAAACUGGUUGGUGUGACUGUAAUCUAAACAUGGAGUGAGGAGAAGGGGCACAUUAAUCUCUGGACCACUUGUUACAGUGGCAUAUCAGAGUCCAAUGAAUUCAAAAAUGUAUCAGGUAUCAGUACACAAAGUUGGAAAAAUAAACAGGUACGGAGACAUUGUAUUGGAAAUGCUUCUGUUGACAUGAAUCAGAUUGCUUUGCUCUGUUACAUGAAGACUGGUACAAUUACACAGCAUAGAUCAAAAUACAAAAUAGCUUAGCUACACAGAAUUUGCACACACAUGCCAAUAAAAUCUUGUUAGUUGUAAUGAAAGGAUAGUUAAAGUUCUGUUGAGCUUAUGAAGAAAAAAAGAGAGAAUAUAUAAGAGUAUAGAUUACACACCAGUUUCCUAGCUUCUGAAUCUUCUCCUCUAUUUUCCACAUCGGAACUUUUGUCUUGCCAAUAACAUCAUUGGAUUGCUCAAAGCUUUUAAAGGCAGCCCUUUCCACUUCAAAAUCCUCACCAUAUCCCCUUUCAAGAAAAGCCUGAUCACUUCUUUUUGAUAAUCCGUUUUUCUGCACAUAUCUCUUGUCAGUAAUUUUAUCAGCUUGACUAUGAUUCCUGACAAGUCCACCAUUCAUUUUGUUGACUCCAGAACCAAUGUUCUCUUCUUCAAAAGCUUUCCCCUUUAUUCCGAACAUAUCCAGGGAAUCUUUAGCAUGAGCAAGAUUUUCUUUUAAGCCAAUAGUUCUAUCAAUGCUUUCAACAUAUUCUAAUACCAUAGGACUUUGUUGAGCAAUUCGAGUCUUCAUACUCUUGGUUUCAUUGAA